AUUAUAGAAAAAAGGGAACAUGCUUUGAGGAUUGGAAGAUACAGAUCAUUAUCUUCAAAAAUUAUUUUUCAUGAGUUCUUGGUGGCGAGAAUACUGAAGUGGGUUGCCAUUUCCUCCUCCAGUGGACCACGUUUUGUCAGAACUCUUCAAUAUGACCCAUUUGUCUUGGUGGCCCUGCAUGGCGUGGCUCAUAUUUUCAUUGAGUUAUGCAAGCCCCUUUACCACAACAAGGCUGUGGUCCAUGAAGGGGAUGCAAAAGAAUACUGAAGAAAAAAAAAAAGAAUACUGAAGAAUAAAGGUAUUUAUGAAAAGAAAAUUAUCCAGUCCAUCCUAAAGGAAAUCAGUCCUGAAUAUUCACUGGAAGGACUGAUGCUGAAGCUGAAACUCCAAUACUUUGGCCACCUGAUGUGAAGAACUGACUCAUUUGAAAAGACCCUGAUGCUGGGAAAGAUUGAAGGCAGGAGGAGAAGGGGACGACAGAGGAUGAGAUGGUUGGAUGGCAUCACCGACUCAAUGGACAUGAGUUUGAGUUCUCUGGGAGUUGGCGAUGGACAGGGAGGCCUGGUAUGCUGCAGUCCAUGGGGUCACAAAGAGUCGGACAUGACUGAGCGACUGGACUGAACUGGCCAACAAAAUUGUGGAUCAUAUAUGAUAGUUUUAACUGAAAGCAUCCAUGGGCAAAUUUGCUUUGUUAAAAGACAGCAUGUCAAGCUAAAUUUUAUGAAGCUAAUUAUUUGUUUCUUGAUAGGGAACGUAUGUAGCACAUCUUUUAAAUUGUAAAAGCAAAAUUAUAAGCACUGGUAGAUGUUAUUACAUAAGAAAGAAAACAAGGAAAAGCAUUACAUGUUACAAAUAAUUGUUUUUAACACACAAAAAAGAUAUCUCAUGAACCUUUUCUAGCCAGGUACUUAC
Bos taurus (domestic cattle) is the source of this 912-nucleotide long non-coding RNA. The record is from Ensembl. Lineage: Eukaryota; Metazoa; Chordata; Mammalia; Artiodactyla; Bovidae.